Molecule: long non-coding RNA, 2192 nt
Organism: Triticum aestivum (bread wheat)
Lineage: Eukaryota; Viridiplantae; Streptophyta; Magnoliopsida; Poales; Poaceae
Exons: 2
Source: RefSeq, a predicted model, not a curated record
AUAGAAAAAAUGUCCCGAAUAGGUGCUGCAUCGCCCCCACCGCUUCGCCUCAAUUGGCACCAGCGCAGGCCACCCCGCCGCUCGACCUUGACUCGCACCAGAGGCGACCACCACCAUCCUCGCUGCUCCCUACCCUCCCCCAGCCCGAUAUGGAUGCCUAACCCGCGGGAACGGGCAGGCGGACGGCGGGCGAUGUGAGGCGCGGUGGCGGCACGAGGAAGAUGGGCAGAUCCGGGCACGGCGUUGACCGAUCUGGCGGCUGGUGCGCGGCUUGUUCCGGUCCCAACGACAUCCUGCUCAUCCAUAGAAGGAGAGAGAAGGGCCCGAGGGAGAGAGGAAACAGAUGAAGAAAGGAGAAGGGGCAUACGCAGGGUGAGGGAGGAAGUCGCCGGCGGUGGCGGCUCCGGUGACUGGCCGACGGGCUUGCUAGGCAAGGCUAAGGAGUACGCUAGCCUGAGAUUCGAUAGAGGUGUGUUUGAUUUUUAGAUUUGGGCUGAACAACCAAUUCUUGGGUAGAUUUAUUCGAUGUACUGAUGGAUCAUCCUCUGGAGUGCAUGAAUUGAAUGAAUUUCUGAAUUCUGAGCAGCAUGAAUUGAAUGAAUUUUGCACCACGGGGAAGAAGUUGUGGUGGCGGCGAAUUAUGUAGCCAUUGUCUCUCACGACUGCCGGCCCCUGCUCGCGACAUCUCUACUGAAGCCGCCUCUGCCUACUCUGAGGAGGAGAGCAAUGGAAAUAACACCCCGUCGUGGUCCUGGUGCUUCUCUCCGUGGGUUCGCUUGCUCACCUCGGCGUUUGCGGCUUCUACAGGUACGUACUAGACAACUACCCAUUGUUUUUGUUUUCUAUUGACAGUUUGAUCGCUUCAUCAAUCCUUCUAGAGGGUCUUGACAGGAAGGACUGAGCAGCCAUUGUGCUGGAGUAGACUGUGUGACAGGUUUUUUCCUCUCUCUCCUACCCGUGAUUGGUUUCUUUGGUGAAGAAAGCAUCACUGUCUUUCAAUACAUCAUGGAUGCUCAACCUGUAUGUCUACAUGGUACAAGAAUGAAGAUUAACCAUUCAAUCUAUUGAUUCAGAGUGAGACAAGGGUGAAACAGAAUAAGCUCAUUUUUGUGAUGAGUUCCCUAGGCCCCAGAAGGCCAGAACUAGCAUUUUAAUUACAAAAUUCAGUUUUUGAUCACGUUAUUUCAGUUUCAUUAUAGACCUUAUAAUAUUUUUUAUGGAUUAAUAUAAGGUUUAUAAUAUUUUGUGGAGCAAUCAGUUGUGCAUAGAAAAGAGCUCACCUAAAUUAAUGACAUGUUCAUCUUAUCUUCGAUUAAAAAAAUUUGCCCCCUAAUAUUCAGUUCUACUGAGAGUUGUAGAAGGCAAAAAUCCAGCAAAUUAACUCAAGUAAGUGUUUUUGUUAUUUCCCAAUGUAAUUAAAAAUUUUCUUCUCAAAAUACGACAUGGUCAUUGUCGGAAAAGAAUAUUUAGCAUGAAUGUAGGUGCUUUCAUAUGAAGCUGGACAUGUUUACAAUGAUCGACCGGAUACCGUUACACGUGUCCUGAAUAUGAAGUUUAAUGAUUUCUGAGAAGAUGUUAAAAGUGGACAUUUGUUUCGUACAAUUCAAGCAUGUAAGUUAUUUACAUACUGAUUUUAUCCUGCUUUGUUUUAAUCUUUUCAUUUAUAUAAUCUAACUUUGUCCAUCUAUUUCUCUUCCUCUAUUUUGCGGUUAUCCAAGUUUAUACAUGAUGGAGUUCCAGAAUAGAGGCUUGCCUCAUACUCAUACUUCAAUUCGGCUUAUAUGGAACAAUCAUGAGCCUUCGGCCUCCUUCAUAGAUGGUUUGAUUUCGGCUGAGAUACCUGAUCGUUUGGUUGAGCCCUGGGUUAUGCUCUUAUGGAUUAAUUUAUGGUUCACGGUCCAUGUGGAGACUACAAAGUAAAGUGUGCAUGUAUGAAAGAUGGAUUGUGUUCCAAAAGAUUUCCCAAAGAUUUUAAUGAGCAGACGUCGGUUGAUGAUAGAGGCUUUCCUAUAUAUCAUAGACGUGAUUUGGGUUACUAUGUGAGGAACAAGGGUACUGUUAAGCUGGAUAAUCGAUGGGUAGUUUUCAUAUAAUAGUUUUGGUAAUGUAAUUAUUAAUGUAUUUUUCUUCUUGCGAAGCGUACUGGCAUAUGUUUGCUUUCAAUAUACAUGGUCGUGAGCCUGCAGUGGAGA